UACGGAGGGUGCAAGCGUUAAUCGGAAUUACUGGGCGUAAAGCGUGCGCAGGCGGUUCGCCAAGUCAGGUGUGAAAUCCCCGGGCUUAACCUGGGAAUUGCAUUCGAAACUGCGAGGCUAGGGUACGGAAGAGGGAAGCGGAAUUUCUGGUGUAGCGGUGAAAUGCGUAGAUAUCAGAAGGAACAUCAGUGGCGAAAGCGGCUUCCUGGUCCAGUACCGACGUUCAGGCACGAAAGCGUGGGGAGCAAACAGG
RNAcentral lists this ribosomal RNA (253 nucleotides) under uncultured prokaryote. RNAcentral describes it as "partial 16S ribosomal RNA". It matches the Rfam family "Bacterial small subunit ribosomal RNA", at positions 524 to 776 of the family's 1533-position model. The record is from RNAcentral.